UCUCACUGACCAGGGCUGGUUUGGCAGAUUCAGGGCCGAGGAGGGGGCAAUGUGUCUGGUUCUUAUGAGAAAUGUUCAGCUGCAAACUCAUGAGAGCGGAAGUCUCCCUUCCACAGUGCACAUGGCGGCUUCCUGUGCCACCCCCUGCCCAGCUGGCUCUGCUCCACCAGGUUCAGCCGCCCCUUCUACAUUUGUCUGUGUGGAGCAUUAUUCCAAGCUGGAGCAGAAGUCCCAAGCCCUCAGCAUACAGUGACUGGCUUAGCCAUGCAUGUGCCUGGACUCAAAAGGGCAGCCAAGCAGGAUGGGUUUUUAGGUCAAACCCUGAAAUAUAGGAGAUGUCCUGGCAGGAGCGUUCUAUUGCAGUAAACCAAACCACACCUGGGGCAGCAUGGCCCCACACAGGCUACAUUGUCUCUGUUGGCCCCGCACCAACGCAGUGCACUAUUUACUUAUCUGCAAACAUGGGGCAGUAAUCCAACAGAGAACUUUCCUCCAGAUUUCAGAGCAGUCUCUGGUAAUCUUUGCACAGCUAGGUGGCUGGCCUUACUAAUCAGAUCAAGUGUAAUACUAACUUCCAGAUCCCUCAGGGAAAUGCAUAGUGCCUCUCCGGCUCCUUGAACAUGUCCUCCUGUGUUAUCCAGGAGAAUAAUCCAAGUCCUUGCCCUCGCUUGCUCAGAUAGGUCCUAUGAGUGGCACUGGAAUCCCAAGGAACCACUGCUGCAUUGCUGAGCAGGAGGGGGAUCAGGCGUCUGAGAACAUCAGCGGGCUAAAUGCUUCACCAGACCUUGGGGGGAAAUGGAGAACAAAAGGAUCUGACCCUGGAGCUGCAGGGGGAUGUGCAAAGGGGACUCUGCACCUAUGUGCAGCUUCCAGGCAGAAGCCAAGUGGGGGAAGAGGACAGAGACUCUGAAGUAAUACGUCCCUCAUGGCAGAGAAAGGAGGAGGCAGGAGCAAGCAUUCCAAAGGGAAUGAACGCCUGAGAAAGCACAUCCAAAGACACAGGCAAUUAGUGCCAUUAUCCCAUUAGCAGGCCCCUGCAUCUGACGUGUACAUACCACCUCCUCAUACAGUGCUGCGGUACAGGAUGGUGGCAGCUCGUUUUGGUCUGUGCCAUACUGGUCUGUUCCUUCCUGUGCAUUUCCAUGGCAUUCCAUCUCUGCCAACAAACUGGACAGAGUGACUCAGGCUCCCCGGGACAUGCAUUCGUACCCCUGUCGUCCGCAGAAGUGCCUGGUGUGUAGUAUUGUGGUUUUGAUCUAGUUUGUUGUUGCUGCUGGGCUUCCACUUUUGUGUGCUUAAUAAACAUGAUUUGCUCCAUUUA
Non-coding RNA from Caretta caretta (loggerhead turtle), 1321 nucleotides. Lineage: Eukaryota; Metazoa; Chordata; Testudines; Cheloniidae. The record is from RefSeq and is a predicted model, not a curated record.